RNAcentral lists this small nuclear RNA (162 nucleotides) under Spermophilus dauricus (Daurian ground squirrel). RNAcentral describes it as "U1 spliceosomal RNA (ENSSDAG00000002757.1)". It matches the Rfam family "U1 spliceosomal RNA". Rfam says of the family: U1 is a small nuclear RNA (snRNA) component of the spliceosome (involved in pre-mRNA splicing). Its 5' end forms complementary base pairs with the 5' splice junction, thus defining the 5' donor site of an intron. There are significant differences in sequence and secondary structure between metazoan and yeast U1 snRNAs, the latter being much longer (568 nucleotides as compared to 164 nucleotides in human). The record is from RNAcentral. Lineage: Eukaryota; Metazoa; Chordata; Mammalia; Rodentia; Sciuridae.
AUAAUUACCUGGCAGGGGAGAUACCAUGAUCACAAAGGUGGUUUUCCCAGGGUGAGACUUAUCCAUUGCAUUCCAGAUGUGCUGACCCCUGGGAUUUCCCCAAAUGCAGGAAAUUCAACUGCAUAAUUUGUGGUAGUGGGAGACAGUGUUUGUGCUCUCCCU